Molecule: ribosomal RNA, 77 nt
Filed under: Cyrtorchis aff. ringens sp3
Lineage: Eukaryota; Viridiplantae; Streptophyta; Magnoliopsida; Asparagales; Orchidaceae
Description: partial 5.8S ribosomal RNA
Rfam family: 5.8S ribosomal RNA
About the family: 5.8S ribosomal RNA (5.8S rRNA) is a component of the large subunit of the eukaryotic ribosome. It is transcribed by RNA polymerase I as part of the 45S precursor that also contains 18S and 28S rRNA.
Source: RNAcentral
GACACGACUCUCGGCAAUGGAUAUCUCGGCUCUCGCAUCGAUGAAGAGCGCAGCGAAAUGCGAUACUUGGGGUGAAU